This is an RNA transcript of Camelus dromedarius (Arabian camel), 1901 nucleotides long. RefSeq lists it as uncharacterized. The record is from RefSeq and is a predicted model, not a curated record. Lineage: Eukaryota; Metazoa; Chordata; Mammalia; Artiodactyla; Camelidae. The transcript has 9 exons.
GGCAAGCGGAGAGUUUCCCAAGCCGAGGGCCCUACUUAGUUUUGAUUUUGCCCCCCGCGGCUCCAGGGAGCAGAGGGAGAGGGGACCCGGGCCUCGCCCAAACUUCUCCCGCGCCCCCUGCGGGGGCGGGGCCUCAAGGGCGGGGCUAUGUGAAGCCGGGAGGCGGGGCGGGGUAGCUGAGAGUGGCCCCCUAGUGGGGCCAUGGAGAAGCUGGAAUCUCUGCGGGCUGCUGGCGGCCUUAACGGGGAAUCUCCUGGAAACAACAGAGUCGAGGCAGGCGCCGGGCUGCCCUCCGUAGUCGUGUUUCACGGUUCUGGGCCCCCCAUGCACUCCGGGGGAAUCGUAACUCGCAGUCCUGAAUCUGGCCAGCUCUCCGAGGGGACAGAAGUCCUCGGUUCCGGGCUCAGCCAGCACCCUGGGGAGGUCGCGGGCCACAGCCUUGGGUCUGGCACAUACCCUGGCGGAACCAGUGUAUUCGGGACGUCCAACCUGGGGUUCUCGGGGCCUGGAAUGUACAACUCGGAGGACAUUCCGCGCUCCGGGUCAACUCGCAUGUACCCCGACAAACUCUGUGAGGACCGGCCCCGGAGCAUCCUAAAAAACAGCAGCUACGCUGUGAUGUAUAAAUCCCCCAGGGCGGAGAGGAAAAAGUCUCAGCACUGGGAUGAAAUGAAUAUCCUGGCCACCUACCACCCUACCGACAAGGACUAUGGAUUUAUGACGGUGGAUGAGCCCAGCACUCCCUACCACAGACUGCGGGGCAGCGAUGAGGACCUGCUCGCUGGGACCUCCCACACAGUGACUCCUGAGGAGCUAGCAGAGAGGUUUGCAACAAUGGACAAUUUCUGCCCCAAGAUCCUCCUGUACGGUGAUAACAGAAGCUCAGGGUCUUCAGACACCUUUUCCAAGACACAAUCCAGUGAUUUUGAAAAGCACCGCAAGGCACACUACAAUGAAGGAAAGUUCCUCAAGCUUCAGAGAAACCUGCCCUUGGAUAAUAACAAGAAAAGCAGUGUGGGUAGUGUCAGUGUGAGCAGUGGGGGUCGAGGUGUGGUGUUGGACCCAGAGCCCAGGCCUGCGGAGAGAGGAGGGGCAGGAGGCCUGACCAGAGGAGUCAAAGAUGAGUUUGGCCUGGUGACCAGAAACGACAUCUUGGAAGCCAAAGGUAGCCAUAAGACUCAGAUUGAUUUGGGUGACUCCUCAGAUGCCCUUGCCUUCAGAAAUCAGUCCCCAGCUUCAGCCACCACUGUCGUGUUGGGGAAGGAGACAGAUCUGCAACGCAAGGAGUAUUACAGAAAAGGAAGAUACCUGAGGUGCUCUCCCCACCCUGAGCUUGAGGAGGACACAGAAGAUGAGCAGCAGGCCAGCUCCACAGGCUUGAACUGGGUGAUUGAAGAUCCCAUCAGCACCGAAGUCCGUCUGCUGGACCACACCGGAAGCUCCUCAGAGGAUCCUGAGGCCACAGAGAACUCCCUGAAGGUGACAGUGACACCAUCGAAGCCUGGUGAGGGCACCAGGCCACCGUCUCACCGGACUUGGCAAGCUCCCAUGCCCCCCACCCCGACUCCCCACCAGUGGAUGGACCACAGGUACUGCCCUGUCCUCCAAAGACAGUGGGUCCCGAGCAGUGACUGAUUGGUGUCAGUGGCUGGCAACCAAGGGGCUGAACUGGCAAAGCACAGAAGUCUCAGAGAGGGAACCUAGAAGCAUCCCAAAUUCCUCAAACCAGAGCCAGCACAGACGUGAGCCCCGGCAAGAUGAAACCCUGCGGCUUCGAUGGACUCAGGAGGAGGAAACCAGACAAUGGAAGAUGUAGCCAGCUGGGGAUGGGGUGGGGGCCAGCCUUCCUCUGACCUCACCACCCUCAAUCGGUGUGGACAAUAAAGAGAAGACUAGCAGGA